AUUGAACGCUGGCGGAAUGCUUUACACAUGCAAGUCGAACGGCAGCACGGACUUCGGUCUGGUGGCGAGUGGCGAACGGGUGAGUAAUGUAUCGGAACGUGCCCAGUCGUGGGGGAUAACGUAGCGGAAAUUACGCUAAUACCGCAUACGAUCUAUGGAUGAAAGCGGGGGAUCGCAAGACCUCGCGCGAUUGGAGCGGCCGAUAUCAGAUUAGGUAGUUGGUGGGGUAAAGGUCCACCAAGCCAACGAUCGGUAGCUGGUCUGAGAGGACGACCAGCAACACUGGAACUGAGACACGGUCCAGCAUCCUACGGGAGGGAGCAGUGGGGAAUUUUGGACAAUGGGCGAAAGCCUGAUCCAGCCAUUCCGCGUGCAGGAUGAAGGCCCUCGGGUUGUAAACUGCUUUUGUACAGAACGAAAAGGUUUCUACUAAUACUAGGAGCUCAUGACGGUACUGUAAGAAUAAGCACCGGCUAACUACGUGCCAGCAGCCGCGGUAA
This 500-nucleotide ribosomal RNA is filed under the name uncultured bacterium. Its description in RNAcentral is "partial 16S ribosomal RNA". It matches the Rfam family "Bacterial small subunit ribosomal RNA", at positions 30 to 523 of the family's 1533-position model. The record is from RNAcentral.